GGACACGAGAAAUCCUGUCUGAAGAUGGGGGGGACCAUCCUCCAAGGCUAAAUACUCGUAAUCGACCGAUAGUGAACAAGUACCGUGAGGGAAAGGCGAAAAGAACCCCGGGAGGGGAGUGAAAUAGAUCCUGAAACCGCAUGCAUACAAAAAGUCGGAGCCUGGAAACGGGUGACGGCGUACCUUUUGUAUAAUGGGUCAGCGACUUACAUUCAGUGGCAAGGUUAACCGAAUAGGGUAGCCGAAGAGAAAUCGAGUCCGAAUAGGGCGUCUAGUCGCUGGGUGUAGACCCGAAACCAAGUGAUCUAUCCAUGGCCAGGAUGAAGGUGCGGUAACACGCACUGGAGGUCCGAACCGACUAAUGUUGCAAAAUUAGCGGAUGAGCUGUGGAUAGGGGUGAAAGGCUAAAACAAACUUGGAAAUAGCUGGUUCUCUCCGAAAACUAUUUAGGUAGUGCCUCAAGUAUUACCAUCGGGGGUAGAGCACUGUUAUGGCUAGGGGGUCAGUGGCGACUUACCAAACCAUUGCAAACUCCGAAUACCGAUGAGUACAG
RNAcentral lists this ribosomal RNA (553 nucleotides) under uncultured bacterium. RNAcentral describes it as "bacterial LSU rRNA". It matches the Rfam family "Bacterial large subunit ribosomal RNA", at positions 420 to 975 of the family's 2925-position model. The record is from RNAcentral.